GUGUGAAAGUCAUUUUAGCUAUGUUUUAAUUAAGGUGGGACAUUAUGUCUAAUGAAGGCCAAACAAGUAAAUAUCCGUCUCUGAGAGACGCUGCAAAUGGUCACUUGUUGAUUACGUUCUAUUUCCACUUUCUAUAAGCUCCGCCUACUUACGAAUGUAAUCAGCAGCUGCGACCUCAUUUGAAUAUACUAUUUAUUCAUGUUGUCAGCACUGUUUCAUUACAGUUUCGUACCCUUUCAGUCUUAAACACUUUCUCAGUCGAACUUUUCUUUCUCCAAUUCGUCAAAAGUCGCUUUCGUCAGUACCCAAACUUACUAGCAAGUUUGUGUUGACAUUCGAAGUAAGAUGGGACAUAAAAUAUCCCGUUGUCCUCCUGUGUACAGAAGAGAAAAA
Molecule: long non-coding RNA, 393 nt
Organism: Octopus bimaculoides (California two-spot octopus)
Lineage: Eukaryota; Metazoa; Mollusca; Cephalopoda; Octopoda; Octopodidae
Source: RefSeq, a predicted model, not a curated record